Molecule: long non-coding RNA, 818 nt
Organism: Ipomoea nil (Japanese morning glory)
Lineage: Eukaryota; Viridiplantae; Streptophyta; Magnoliopsida; Solanales; Convolvulaceae
Exons: 2
Source: RefSeq, a predicted model, not a curated record
UUAUGGUUCAUAAACGUCAAUAAAAAUUGUUUUGAAAAGUAUAAAGAUCAAGGAAGAAGAGAAAAAUUGAUAAAUAAAAACUAGAUGAAUCCUUUUGGAAAUUGCUCACUACUUCACGAACAUUUAUCAACCUAGUUAUUUCCUCUGUGUGUUUGUGUUACCCCCAUUAGAGUGUCAUUUGACCAAUGUUGCAGGUUUAGAAUGGUGGAAAGAAAGUUUCAGUUUGUUAUGGAAUAUACAAGUAAUAUCGAAUCUAUAAAUUAGGCAGCCUGAAGAUUUAGGAUUUUGAGUAGGUAGUCAUAUGGAACCUUAUUAGAAGUCUUCUAGCAUGUAUUUAUAGGGUUGUGUAUUCCCCUUUCUAACACAGAUUUAUAAACCUUAUAUUCACUUUCGUACAAUAUAUAUUUUCUCAUUCCUUGAUUCUUCAUCUCUGUUUCCGCCUUAGUGGCGAGUGGUUGUUAUUCUCCACCCGCCAGCCAUUUGGAUCAUUCAAAUACAACACAGUUACCCAUGGAUGUGCAUCAAAGGCAAGUGAGUCACAAAGGCAAGUGGUAAAAAGGUUAGUACAAAUAAUUAAGAAUUGCAUACUAGAAUUUGACAAAUUUAUACAAAUUCCUUAAACUGGAUAGAGAACAAUGAUAGUGUUUUGACAGACAGCCAGAUAACGUCCAUGAUGUUGUGGUGCUGAAAGCCUAAGAGCUUGGUUUGGAUGUUGUUUUGUCAUUUCUUGGAGACUUAUUGGAAAUCAUUAGCAAUUUUGGAUAAGAACUCACUUAAUCUCAAGUAUAGGUUUCUCUUUUUACUUUCUUUUUUUUUUU